RNAcentral lists this ribosomal RNA (511 nucleotides) under uncultured bacterium. RNAcentral's name for it is "bacterial SSU rRNA". It matches the Rfam family "Bacterial small subunit ribosomal RNA", at positions 791 to 1299 of the family's 1533-position model. The record is from RNAcentral.
UAGUCCACGCCGUAAACGAUGGUUACUAGCUGUCCGGUACGUUUGAGUACUGGGUGGCCAAGCGAAAGUGAUAAGUAACCCACCUGGGGAGUACGUUCGCAAGAAUGAAACUCAAAGGAAUUGACGGGGGCCCGCACAAGCGGUGGAGCAUGUGGUUUAAUUCGAUGAUACGCGAGGAACCUUACCAGGGCUUAAAUGCAGUAUGACAGGAUUGGAAACAGUCUUUUCUUCGGACAUAUUGCAAGGUGCUGCAUGGUUGUCGUCAGCUCGUGCCGUGAGGUGUCAGGUUAAGUCCUAUAACGAGCGCAACCCCUAUUGCUAGUUGCCAGCGGAUCAUGCCGGGGACUCUAGUGAGACUGCCGGUGCAAACCGUGAGGAAGGUGGGGAUGACGUCAAAUCAUCACGGGCCCUUACGUCCUGGGGCCACACACGUGCUACAAUGGUAGGGGACAGAGAGCAGCCACUUCGCGAGAAGGGAGCGGAAUCUUCAAACCCUGUCACAGUUCGGGAU